CACAACUGUGUUCACUAGCAACCUCAAACAGACACCAUGGUGCAUCUGACUCCUGAGGAGAAGUCUGCCGUUACUGCCCUGUGGGGCAAGGUGAACGUGGAUGAAGUUGGUGGUGAGGCCCUGGGCUGCUGGUGGUCUACCCUUGGACCCAGAGGUUCUUUGAGUCCUUUGGGGAUCUGUCCACUCCUGAUGCUGUUAUGGGCAACCCUAAGGUGAAGGCUCAUGGCAAGAAAGUGCUCGGUGCCUUUAGUGAUGGCCUGGCUCACCUGGACAACCUCAAGGGCACCUUUGCCACACUGAGUGAGCUGCACUGUGACAAGCUGCACGUGGAUCCUGAGAACUUCAGGCUCCUGGGCAACGUGCUGGUCUGUGUGCUGGCCCAUCACUUUGGCAAAGAAUUCACCCCACCAGUGCAGGCUGCCUAUCAGAAAGUGGUGGCUGGUGUGGCUAAUGCCCUGGCCCACAAGUAUCACUAAGCUCGCUUUCUUGCUGUCCAAUUUCUAUUAAAGGUUCCUUUGUUCCCUAAGUCCAACUACUAAACUGGGGGAUAUUAUGAAGGGCCUUGAGCAUCUGGAUUCUGCCUAAUAAAAAACAUUUAUUUUCAUU
This 606-nucleotide long non-coding RNA is filed under the name Homo sapiens (human). RNAcentral describes it as "long non-coding RNA NONHSAT160034.1". The record is from RNAcentral. Lineage: Eukaryota; Metazoa; Chordata; Mammalia; Primates; Hominidae.